UGCAAGUCGAACGCGAAAGUGGGGCUUGCUCCACGAGUAGAGUGGCGAAAGGGCGAGUAAUGCGUUUCUAACGUGCCCCAGGGUCGGGGAUAGCUCACCGAAAGGUGAAUUAAUACCCGAUGAUCCCAUCCACCGUAUGGCGUGAUGGGCAAAGGCUUGCUGCCCUGGGAUCGGGGAACGUGCUAUCAGGUCGUUGGUGAGGUAACGGCUCACCAAGCCUAAGACGGCUAGCGGGUGUGAGAGCACGACCCGCCGCAUCGGGACUGAGACACUGCCCGGACUCCUACGGGAGGCUGCAGUAACGAAUAUUCCGCAAUGCGCGAAAGCGUGACGGAGCAAUGCCGCGUGCAGGAUGAAGCCCCUCGGGGUGUAAACUGCUGUCAGGGUUUAGAAACACAAUGAUCAGACCCAAAGGAAGAGCCGGCUAACUCUGUGCCAGCAGCCGCGGUAAUACAGAGGGCUCAAGCGUUAAUCGGUGUCACUGGGCUUAAAGGGUGCGUAGGCGGGCCUGUAAGCGUCUUGUGAAAUCCCACGGCUCAACCGUGGAACUGCUUGGCAUACUGCAGGCCUUGAGGUCGGUAGGGGCUGCCGGAACUCUAGGUGUAGCGGUGAAAUGCGUAGAUAUCUAGAGGAACGCCAAAGGUGAAGACAGGCAGCUGGGCCGAUCCUGACGCUGAGGCACGAAAGCGUGGGUAGCGAACGGGAUUAGAUACCCCGGUAGUCCACGCCCUAAACGAUGUGUACUAGAUCGUGGAGGUUUUGACGCCAUCACGGUCGAAGCAAAAGUGUUAAGUACACCGCCUGGGGGAGUACGGUCGCAAGAUUAAAACU
This 831-nucleotide ribosomal RNA is filed under the name uncultured marine bacterium. Its description in RNAcentral is "bacterial SSU rRNA". It matches the Rfam family "Bacterial small subunit ribosomal RNA", at positions 56 to 901 of the family's 1533-position model. The record is from RNAcentral.